Small nucleolar RNA from Benincasa hispida (wax gourd), 102 nucleotides. RefSeq annotates it as small nucleolar RNA snoR99. The record is from RefSeq and is a predicted model, not a curated record. Lineage: Eukaryota; Viridiplantae; Streptophyta; Magnoliopsida; Cucurbitales; Cucurbitaceae.
GUGCUUUAGGGAUGAACAAGGUCCCCCAUAUUCAUAUCCAUCCUUUUCACUUUGUCAGCUCUGUCUUUCAUGUCUUGCUGAUCAUUGUUGGAUGGAAGAUCU